Molecule: ribosomal RNA, 348 nt
Filed under: uncultured bacterium
Lineage: Bacteria
Description: bacterial SSU rRNA
Rfam family: Bacterial small subunit ribosomal RNA
Source: RNAcentral
UCGCGUGUCUCAGAGUUUCGAUCCCUGGCUCAGGAUGAACGCUAGCGAUAGGCUUAACACAUGCAAGUCGAGGGGUAGCAUGGGAGUAGCUUGCUACUUCUGAUGACGACCGGCGGAUGGGUGAGUAACGCGUAUGCAACUUGCCUCUUAGUGGGGAAUAACCCGGAGAAAUCCGGACUAAUACCGCAUACACUUAGUUAUCCGCAUGGAUGAUUAAGGAAAGAUUUAUUGCUAAGAGAUAGGCAUGCGUUCCAUUAGUUAGUUGGUGAGGUAGCGGCUCACCAAGGCAUCGAUGGAUAGGGGAGCUGAGAGGCUUAUCCCCCACAUUGGGACUGAGACACGGCCCAA